ACGUAGGGCGCGAGCGUUGUCCGGAAUUAUUGGGCGUAAAGAGCUCGUAGGUGGCUUGUUGCGUCUGCCGUGAAAGCCCGUGGCUUAACUACGGGUCUGCGGUGGAUACGGGCAGGCUAGAGGCUGGUAGGGGCAAGCGGAAUUCCUGGUGUAGCGGUGAAAUGCGCAGAUAUCAGGAGGAACACCGAUGGCGAAGGCAGGUCUCUGGGCCGCAACUGACGCUGAGGAGCGAAAGCAUGGGGAGCGAACAGGA
Molecule: ribosomal RNA, 253 nt
Filed under: uncultured prokaryote
Description: partial 16S ribosomal RNA
Rfam family: Bacterial small subunit ribosomal RNA
Source: RNAcentral